AGAGUUUGAUCAUGGCUCAGGACGAACGCUGGCGGCGUGCUUAACACAUGCAAGUCGAACGGAAAGGCCCUGCUUUUGUGGGGUGCUCGAGUGGCGAACGGGUGAGUAACACGUGAGUAACCUGCCCUUGACUUUGGGAUAACUUCAGGAAACUGGGGCUAAUACCGGAUAGGAGCUCCUGCUGCAUGGUGGGGGUUGGAAAGUUUCGGCGGUUGGGGAUGGACUCGCGGCUUAUCAGCUUGUUGGUGGGGUAGUGGCUUACCAAGGCUUUGACAGGUAGCCGGCCUGAGAGGGUGACCGGCCACAUUGGGACUGAGAUACGGCCCAGACUCCUACGGGAGGCAGCAGUGGGGAAUAUUGCACAAUGGGCGGAAGCCUGAUGCAGCAACGCCGCGUGCGGGAUGACGGCCUUCGGGUUGUAAACCGCUUUCGCCUGUGACGAAGCGUGAGUGACGGUAAUGGGUAAAGAAGCACCGGCUAACUACGUGCCAGCAGCCGCGGUGAUACGUAGGGUGCGAGCGUUGUCCGGAUUUAUUGGGCGUAAAGGGCUCGUAGGUGGUUGAUCGCGUCGGAAGUGUAAUCUUGGGGCUUAACCCUGAGCGUGCUUUCGAUACGGGUUGACCUGAGGAAGGUAGGGGAGAAUGGAAUUCCUGGUGGAGCGGUGGAAUGCGCAGAUAUCAGAGGAACACCAGUGGCG
Molecule: ribosomal RNA, 697 nt
Filed under: uncultured bacterium
Lineage: Bacteria
Description: bacterial SSU rRNA
Rfam family: Bacterial small subunit ribosomal RNA
Source: RNAcentral